GCCCUCGUAGCUCAGUGGAUAGAGCAACGGUUUCCUAAACCGUGUGUCGGAGGUUCGAUUCCUCCCGGGGGCA
Molecule: transfer RNA, 73 nt
Filed under: Actinomycetota bacterium
Lineage: Bacteria; Bacillati; Actinomycetota
Also listed under: 1 other name
Description: tRNA-Arg
Rfam family: tRNA
About the family: Transfer RNA (tRNA) molecules are approximately 80 nucleotides in length.
Source: RNAcentral